RNAcentral lists this unclassified non-coding RNA (17 nucleotides) under Mus musculus (house mouse). RNAcentral describes it as "oocyte_clustered_small_RNA10361". The record is from RNAcentral. Lineage: Eukaryota; Metazoa; Chordata; Mammalia; Rodentia; Muridae.
UGAGUAUAUAGUGUGUA